AGCAGCCGCGGUAAUUCCAGCUCCAAUAGCGUAUAUUAAAGUUGCUGCAGUUAAAAAGUUCGUAGUUGAAUUUCGGGACUAAUAUGUCGGUCGUGCCUCGGUACGUACUGGUUUAUUGGUUUCUCCUUUCUGAAGAACCAUGAUGUCAUUUAUUUGGUGUCGUGGGGAAUCAGGACUGUUACUUUGAAAAAUUAGAGUGUUUAAAGCAGGCUCACGCUUGAAUACAUUAGCAUGGAAUAAUGAAAUAGGACGUUUGAUUCUAUUUUGUUGGUUUCUAGGAUCGAUGUAAUGAUUAAUAGGGAUAGUUGGGGGCAUUAGUAUUCAAUUGUCAGAGGUGAAAUUCUUGGAUUUAUUGAAGACUAACUACUGCGAAAGCAUUUGCCAAGGAUGUUUUCAUUAAUCAAGAACGAAAGUUAGGGGAUCGAAGACGAUCAGAUACCGUCGUAGUCU
RNAcentral lists this ribosomal RNA (450 nucleotides) under uncultured Glomeromycotina. Its description in RNAcentral is "SSU rRNA". It matches the Rfam family "Eukaryotic small subunit ribosomal RNA", at positions 569 to 1026 of the family's 1831-position model. Lineage: Eukaryota; Fungi; Glomeromycota. The record is from RNAcentral.